AUUGAACGCUGGCGGCAUGCCUUACACAUGCAAGUCGAACGGUAACAGGUCUUCGGAUGCUGACGAGUGGCGAACGGGUGAGUAAUACAUCGGAACGUGCCUAGUAGUGGGGGAUAACUACUCGAAAGAGUGGCUAAUACCGCAUGAGAUCUACGGAUGAAAGCAGGGGAUCGCAAGACCUUGUGCUACUAGAGCGGCCGAUGGCAGAUUAGGUAGUUGGUGGGAUAAAAGCUUACCAAGCCGACGAUCUGUAGCUGGUCUGAGAGGACGAUCAGCCACACUGGGACUGAGACACGGCCCAGACUCCUACGGGAGGCAGCAGCGGGGAAUUUUGGACAAUGGGCGAAAGCCUGAUCCAGCAAUGCCGCGUGCAGGAUGAAGGCCUUCGGGUUGUAAACUGCUUUUGUACGGAACGAAAAGCCCCGGGUUAAUACCCUGGGUCAUGACGGUACCGUAAGAAUAAGCACCGGCUAACUACGUGCCAGCCGCCGCAGUAA
RNAcentral lists this ribosomal RNA (497 nucleotides) under uncultured bacterium. Its description in RNAcentral is "partial 16S ribosomal RNA". It matches the Rfam family "Bacterial small subunit ribosomal RNA", at positions 30 to 523 of the family's 1533-position model. The record is from RNAcentral.